GAUGAACGCUGGCGGCGUGCCUAAUACAUGCAAGUCGAGCGAACAGACGAGGAGCUUGCUCCUCUGACGUUAGCGGCGGUCGGGUGAGUAACACGUGGAUAACCUACCUAUAAGACUGGGAUAACUUCGGGAAACCGGAGCUAAUACCGGAUAACAUGUUGAACCGCAUGGUUCAACAGUGAAAGACGGUUUUGCUGUCACUUAUAGAUGGAUCCGCGCCGCAUUAGCUAGUUGGUAAGGUAACGGCUUACCAAGGCAACGAUGCGUAGCCGACCUGAGAGGGUGAUCGGCCACACUGGAACUGAGACACGGUCCAGACUCCUACGGGAGGCAGCAGUAGGGAAUCUUCCGCAAUGGGCGAAAGCCUGACGGAGCAACGCCGCGUGAGUGAAGAAGGUCUUCGGAUCGUAAAACUCUGUUAUUAGGGAAGAACAAAUGUGUAAGUAACUAUGCACGUCUUGACGGUACCUAAUCAGAAAGCCACGGCUAACUACGUG
RNAcentral lists this ribosomal RNA (497 nucleotides) under uncultured bacterium. Its description in RNAcentral is "partial 16S ribosomal RNA". It matches the Rfam family "Bacterial small subunit ribosomal RNA", at positions 28 to 507 of the family's 1533-position model. The record is from RNAcentral.